GGACUACACGGGUUUCUAAUCCUGUUUGCUCCCCACGCUUUCGAGCCUCAGCGUCAAUUAUCGUCCAGCAAGUCGCCUUCGCCACCGGUGUUCCUCCUGAUAUCUACGCAUUUCACCGCUACACCAGGAAUUCCACUUGCCCCUCCGAUAUUCUAGUCCGAAAGUUUCCAAUGCAGGCUUGGGGUUGAGCCCCAAGAUUUCACAUCAGACUUGUCAGACCGCCUACGCUCCCUUUACGCCCAGUAAAUCCGGAUAACGCUUGCACCAUACGUAUUACCGCGGCUGCUGGCAC
RNAcentral lists this ribosomal RNA (292 nucleotides) under uncultured bacterium. Its description in RNAcentral is "partial 16S ribosomal RNA". The record is from RNAcentral.